This 651-nucleotide ribosomal RNA is filed under the name Sporisorium nervosum. Its description in RNAcentral is "LSU rRNA". It matches the Rfam family "Eukaryotic large subunit ribosomal RNA", at positions 38 to 668 of the family's 3401-position model. Lineage: Eukaryota; Fungi; Basidiomycota; Ustilaginomycetes; Ustilaginales; Ustilaginaceae. The record is from RNAcentral.
GCAUAUCAAUAAACGGAGGAAAAGAAACUAACAAGGAUUCCCCUAGUAACGGCGAGUGAAGAGGGAAGAGCCCAAGAUUGAAAGCUGGCGUCUUCGGCGUCCGCAUUGUAAUCUCAAGAAGUGUUUUCCGCUUCGGACCAUGCCUAAGUCCCUUGGAAAAGGGCAUCAUAGAGGGUGACAAUCCCGUACAUGGCAUGGAGCGCCCGAGGCUUUGUGAUACACUUUCUAAGAGUCGAGUUGUUUGGGAAUGCAGCUCAAAAUGGGUGGUAAAUGCCAUCUAAGGCUAAAUAUUGGGGAGAGACCGAUAGCGAACAAGUACAGUGAUGGAAAGAUGAAAAGAACUUUGAAAAGAGAGUUAAACAGUACGUGAAAUUGCCAAAAGGGAAGGGUAGGAGGUCAGAGAUGCGUCUUGGGAUUCAGCCUUGCUUUUUUGCUCGGUGUUUUUCCCAAGUUGCAGGCCAACGUCGGUUUUGGGCACUGGAGAAGGGUCGAAGGAACGUGGCACCUCUCGGGGUGUGUUAUAGCCUUCUACUGGAUACAGCGACCGAGACCGAGGACAGCAGCGUACUCGCAAGAGCGGGCCUUCGGGCACCUUUACGCUUAGGGCGUUGGCAUAAUGGCCCUCUACCACCCGUCUUGAAACACGGACCA